This 403-nucleotide ribosomal RNA is filed under the name uncultured bacterium. RNAcentral's name for it is "partial 16S ribosomal RNA". It matches the Rfam family "Bacterial small subunit ribosomal RNA", at positions 30 to 526 of the family's 1533-position model. The record is from RNAcentral.
AUUGAACGCUGGCGGCAGGCCUAACACAUGCAAGUCGAGCGAGCGGCGGACGGGUGAGUAAUGUAUGGGGACUGCCCGAUAGAGGGGGAUAACUACUGGAAACGGUGGCUAAUACCGCAUACUAUCGGAUAACCCAUAUGGGAUUAGCUAGUAGGUGGGGUAAAGGCCCACCAAGGCGACGAUCUCUAGCUGGUCUGAGAGGAUGAUCAGACAAACGGGGACUGAGACACGGCCCGGACUCCUACGGAGGAAGAAGUGGGGAAUUUUGCACAAGGGGGGCAAGCCUGAUGCAGCCAUGCCGCGUGUAUGAAGAAGGCCUUAGGGUUGUAAAGUACUUUCAGCGAGGAGGCGUUAACCACAGAAGAAGCACCGGCUAACUCCGUGCCAGCAGCCGCGGUAAUUC